This 252-nucleotide ribosomal RNA is filed under the name uncultured bacterium. Its description in RNAcentral is "partial 16S ribosomal RNA". It matches the Rfam family "Bacterial small subunit ribosomal RNA", at positions 524 to 777 of the family's 1533-position model. The record is from RNAcentral.
UACGUAGGUGGCAAGCGUUAUCCGGAAUUAUUGGGCGUAAAGCGCGCGUAGGCGGUUUUUUAAGUCUGAUGUGAAAGCCCACGGCUCAACCGUGGAGGGUCAUUGGAAACUGGAAAACUUGAGUGCAGAAGAGGAAAGUGGAAUUCCAUGUGUAGCGGUGAAAUGCGCAGAGAUAUGGAGGAACACCAGUGGCGAAGGCGACUUUCUGGUCUGUAACUGACGCUGAUGUGCGAACGUGGGGAUCGAAACGGA